UACGUAGGGGGCAAGCGUUGUCCGGAUUUAUUGGGCGUAAAGCGCUCGCAGGUGGUCCGAUGCGUCGUGCGUGAAAGCCCCCGGCUCAACUGGGGAGGGUCAUUCGAUACUGUUCGACUUGAAGGCAGGAGAGGGAAGUGGAAUUCCGGGUGUAGUGGUGAAAUGCGUAGAUAUCCGGAGGAACACCAGUGGCGAAGGCGACUUUCUGGCCUGUUCUUGACGCUGAGGCGCGAAAGCUAGGGGAGCAAACGGG
This 253-nucleotide ribosomal RNA is filed under the name uncultured bacterium. Its description in RNAcentral is "partial 16S ribosomal RNA". It matches the Rfam family "Bacterial small subunit ribosomal RNA", at positions 524 to 776 of the family's 1533-position model. The record is from RNAcentral.